UUUUAAAAAAAAUUUGACAGCCAGCUCCGGUGGCCUAGUUGUUAGGUUCAGUGCACUCUGCUUUGGUGGGCUGGGUUCGGUUCC
This is a non-coding RNA of Ceratotherium simum simum (southern white rhinoceros), 84 nucleotides long. NCBI's taxonomy places the organism in Eukaryota, Metazoa, Chordata, Mammalia, Perissodactyla, Rhinocerotidae. The record is from RefSeq and is a predicted model, not a curated record.